UACGUAGGGGGCGAGCGUUGUCCGGAUUUACUGGGCGUAAAGAGCGCGCAGGCGGCUGGUCAAGUCCGAUGUGAAAGCUCCCGGCUUAACUGGGAAAUUGCAUCGGAAACUGAUCGGCUGGAAGGUGGGAGAGGGUAGCGGAAUUCCCGGUGUAGUGGUGAAAUGCGUAGAUAUCGGGAGGAACACCAGUGGCGAAGGCGACUUCCUGGCCUGUUCUUGACGCUGAGGCGCGAAAGCUAGGGUAGCAAACGGG
Molecule: ribosomal RNA, 253 nt
Filed under: uncultured bacterium
Lineage: Bacteria
Description: partial 16S ribosomal RNA
Rfam family: Bacterial small subunit ribosomal RNA
Source: RNAcentral